GAGGUUGUGGCUCAGCAGCAGAGCACUUGCCUAGCAUGUGUGAGGCACUGGGUUCGAUUCUCAGCACCACA
This 71-nucleotide transfer RNA is filed under the name Marmota monax (woodchuck). RNAcentral describes it as "tRNA.Ala". The record is from RNAcentral. Lineage: Eukaryota; Metazoa; Chordata; Mammalia; Rodentia; Sciuridae.